RNAcentral lists this ribosomal RNA (253 nucleotides) under uncultured microorganism. RNAcentral's name for it is "partial 16S ribosomal RNA". It matches the Rfam family "Bacterial small subunit ribosomal RNA", at positions 524 to 776 of the family's 1533-position model. The record is from RNAcentral.
UACGUAGGUCCCGAGCGUUGUCCGGAUUUAUUGGGCGUAAAGCGCGCGUAGGCGGUGCGGUAAGUCAGGGGUUAAAGGCUGCAGCUCAACUGCAGUAAGGCCUUUGAUACUAUCGCGCUAGAGUACCAGAGAGGAUGGCGGAAUUCCCGGUGUAGCGGUGAAAUGCGUAGAGAUCAGGAGGAACACCGAUGGCGAAGGCAGCCCCCUGGGCCUGUACUGACGCUCAUGCACGAAAGCGUGGGGAGCAAACAGG